UACGUAGGGUGCGAGCGUUAAUCGGAAUUACUGGGCGUAAAGCGUGCGCAGGCGGUUUGUUAAGACAGAUGUGAAAUCCCCGGGCUUAACCUGGGAACUGCAUUUGUGACUGGCAAGCUAGAGUAUGGCAGAGGGGGGGUAGAAUUCCACGUGUAGCAGUGAAAUGCGUAGAGAUGUGGAGGAAUACCGAUGGCGAAGGCAGCCCCCUGGGUUAACACUGACGCUCAGGCACGAAAAGCGUGGGGAGCAAACAGG
Molecule: ribosomal RNA, 255 nt
Filed under: uncultured bacterium
Lineage: Bacteria
Description: partial 16S ribosomal RNA
Rfam family: Bacterial small subunit ribosomal RNA
Source: RNAcentral